GAGUGCGUAAUAGCUCACUGGUCGAGUGACUCUGCGCCGAAAAUUCAACGGGGCUAAAACCUGCACCGAAGCUUAGGCAUCCGCAAGGAUGGGUAGGGGAGCGUUGUGUACGAGGCGAAGCAUUAGCGAAAGCGGAUGUGGAUUGUACACAAGUGAGAAUGCCGGAAGAAGUAGCGCGAAUGAUGUGAGAAUCAUCAUGGCCGAAAGCCUCAGGUUUUUGGAGGAAGGUUCGUCCGCUCCAAGUUAGCCGGGAGCUAAGGUGAGGCCGAAAGGCGUAGCCGAUGCACAUACGGUAGAGAUUCCGUAGCCGCCGAAAGAUUUAAGCAGGGGGACACAUUUGAAGUGUUGGUGCCGGGUGUUGGUUUACCCGGUCGAAAGGGACUGAAAUUUAGUAGGGAAGUCCAGCAUGGAGAGUGGCGAGAAAAGCCCUGUGUAUAUCUAAGGCGCCCGUACCGCAAACCGACACAGGUAGGUAGGAAGAAGAUUCUAAGGCCAACGGGAGAAGGGUUGUUAAGGAACUCGGCAAGUUGACCCCGUAACUUCGGGAGAAGGGGUGCUCAUGAAAGUGAGCCGCAGAGAAUAGGCCCAAGCAACUGUUUAGCAAAAACACAGGUCUGUGCUAAAUCGAAAGAUGACGUAUACGGGCUGACACCUGCCCGGUGCUGGAAGGUUAAGGGGAUGUGUGCAAGCACUGAACCGAAGCCCCAGUAAACGGCGGCCGUAACUAUAACGGUCCUAAGGUAGCGAAAUUCCUUGUCAGGUAAGUUCUGACCCGCACGAAUGGUGUAAUGAUUUGGGCACUGUCUCAACAGCCCGCCCGGCGAAAUUGUAGUACCGGUGAAGAUGCCGGUUUCCCGCGACAAGACGGAAAGACCCCAUGGAGCUUUACUGCAGCCUAAUAUUGGGUUUCGAUAUUACAUGUACAGGAUAUGUGGGAGACAUGGAAGCACGGGCGUCAGCCUGUGUGGAGUCAGCCUUGGGAUACCACACUUGUGAUAUUGGAAUUCUAACCUGCGGCCCUGAAUCGGGUCGGGGGACAUUGUUAGGCGGGCAGUUUGACUGGGGCGGUCGCCUCCGAAAAAGUAACGGAGGCGUUCAAAGGUUGGCUCAGCUUGGACGGAAACCAAGCCAAAGAGUGCAAACGCAUAAGCCAGCCUAACUGCGAGACUGACGGGUCGAGCAGUAACGAAAGUUGGAGUUAGUGAUCCGGCGGUAUGUGAGUGGAAAUGCCGUCGCUCAACGGAUAAAAGUUACCCUGGGGAUAACAGGCUGAUCUCCCCCAAGAGUCCACAUCGACGGGGAGGUUUGGCACCUCGAUGUCGGCUCAUCGCAUCCUGGGGCUGUAUUCGGUCCCAAGGG
This 1359-nucleotide ribosomal RNA is filed under the name Phocaeicola vulgatus. Its description in RNAcentral is "Bacteroides vulgatus partial 23S ribosomal RNA". It matches the Rfam family "Bacterial large subunit ribosomal RNA", at positions 1128 to 2571 of the family's 2925-position model. Lineage: Bacteria; Pseudomonadati; Bacteroidota; Bacteroidia; Bacteroidales; Bacteroidaceae. The record is from RNAcentral.